This 450-nucleotide ribosomal RNA is filed under the name uncultured bacterium. RNAcentral's name for it is "partial 16S ribosomal RNA". It matches the Rfam family "Bacterial small subunit ribosomal RNA", at positions 354 to 796 of the family's 1533-position model. The record is from RNAcentral.
GUGGGGAAUAUUCCGCAAUGGACGAAAGUCUGACGGAGCAACGCCGCGUGAGUGAUGAAGGUUUUCGGACUGUAAAGCUCUGUUGUUUGGGACGAAAGUGCCUGUUGCGAACAGUUACGGGUAUUGACGGUACUAAACGAGGAAGCCACGGCUAACUACGUGCCAGCAGCCGCGGUAAUACGUAGGUGGCAAGCGUUGUCCGGAAUUAUUGGGCGUAAAGAGCAUGUAGGCGGGAAUCUAAGUCUGUUGUUAAAAUGCGGGGCUCAACCCCGUAUUGCGAUGGAAACUGGGUUUCUUGAGUGCAGGAGAGGAAAGGGGAAUUCCCAGUGUAGCGGUGAAAUGCGUAGAUAUUGGGAGGAACACCAGUGGCGAAGGCGCCUUUCUGGACUGUGUCUGACGCUGAGGCGCGAAAGCGUGGGGAGCAAACAGGAUUAGAAACCCUUGUAGUCC